UCUACUAAAGGAAAAUAGC
This 19-nucleotide transfer RNA is filed under the name Rhinophis blythii. RNAcentral describes it as "partial tRNA-Leu". The record is from RNAcentral. Lineage: Eukaryota; Metazoa; Chordata; Lepidosauria; Squamata; Uropeltidae. RNAcentral also lists the same sequence under 1 other name.